Erigeron canadensis is the source of this 723-nucleotide long non-coding RNA. RefSeq lists it as uncharacterized. The transcript has 2 exons. The record is from RefSeq and is a predicted model, not a curated record. NCBI's taxonomy places the organism in Eukaryota, Viridiplantae, Streptophyta, Magnoliopsida, Asterales, Asteraceae.
UCCUCUCAAAUCCCUUUUAAUCCAAACUCCAUCUUUAAUUCAUCCAACAAUCCUACUAGUAAAUAAUAACAAUAUCAUUCAAGAUUUGAUCAUCAACUAAGAGAAAUUGAAAGUGUGAGAUGGGGGAGUGUGGGUCGAUUUCAAAAGGGAAAAAGGAAGGAGACUAGAAGUGUGAAUUCAAUUCUCUUCACGUGUGUUUAUUUUAAUUAAUCAAAUCCUUCCAAGAAUUUUAACAAUAAUCUUCAACAAGCAAAAAUUGAAAAGCUAAAGUUUAUGUAUGGUAGUGGUGGUGGCCGAAUUUUCAAGAGAGAAAAGAGGGAAGGAAGAAGUGUUAUUUAAAGUUUAAUUUCUUGAAUUUUUGAGGUGGUUCCGGAAGAAAGAACUAGGUAUUGUUGAUUUGAAGUUGUUGACUUGAAGUGUUAGUGACUUGAAGGUAUUUGGUCAUCCGUAGAAGAAUGACAUUUUGGUUAGAAACCUAGUUAAUUCCCUCUCAAACUCUUGGCUCUUGAUACAUGUGUCUUUCGAAUGAGAAUGUUGUGUAUGAUGUAUUUUAAGUCUUGAAGUCUUGACUAUUAUGGUGGAUUGAAGUAUAAAUCAUUUUGGAGUCAACUUGGUCAUUUCGUCACUUUGGGUAAAUGCGGGCGAGUGACCCGCUUGGUUGUUUUAAUGUAAAUUUCAAUGGUUAAAGUUUCGAAUGUAGUAAUUAUGUUGUAAAUUACGUCA